UCCCUCCCUGUAGAGGGCCCCUCCCAGGACCUGGGGCCCCAACCCCCAGCGGUAGUCCCCCCUUCUCCAGCCUAGAACCCCAAAAAGUCGAGCGCAGAUGGCAGUAGCUGGCGAGGUGGGGUGGUGGUGGUGGUGGUCCCUAAGAGGGGGCUGGGCAGAGUCGUAGGCCACCCGCUCCUCUGGCUGCUGUCAGAAGCCUUCUGCCCCUGUUCCGUGGCUUCCCAGGCAAGGGACGGGGGUUGAAAAUGUAGGGGAGGUUCGGAGCAAGGUGGGCAGUGGGUUUGGUGGGGGAAAGGAUGGCGAUGGAGGAGGCUCCGCAGGGAAAAGGCGAGGGUGGGGAUGGGCAGACAGGCGGAAGGGAGGGGGCAGGUUACUCACCAUGUGGGCUGGGGCUCAGGCUGCCUCCCAGGCACAGCAUCCAUGGCAGGAUACCUCCACUCCCACCUCGUCCCGACAAGCCAAAGCCCCCUCCCCUUCCGGAGAGACUGCUCCUACCCAGAGAGCGAAGGUGGGGGAGCCGCAAGAGAGAGUCCCCUCUCUCCCCAGCUGGAGGAGCAGGCAGUGGGGGUGAGGGGCGAGGUAGUGGGGAGGGAAUGAGAAUAGUGGAGGGGGAAAAAUCUGCCUUGGAUGGAGAUAGGGAAGAGGAGCUGGGAACUGGAUGGGGAGAGGGGGCUAUCAAAAGGGGGUGUUUUUUAUUAUUUUUUUCCUUCUUAUGGUUGGGAGAGAAAAAAAAAAAUCAAAAUUCCGAUUCCAUCCCAGCACAAAUCAAUGUUUGCUCCAUCCCAGCAUCACGGGGGAGGCUGGGCCAGGCAGAUUUAAAGGGGCAGGGAGAAGAGAGAAGAGGAGAGGGUGGGGAGAGGAGGAGAGGAAAAAGACACAGUGGCGAUGUUAGCAGUUGGGGGGGGGGUGCCCAGGCUGGAAAAGAUGGGUGCCCGCUAAACCUAAGGAGAGGGAGGAGGCAGGUAGAGAGGAGAAUGAGAGGCGCAGAGACCCCCAGGGUGGAAAGAAACUCUGGGAUGCCAGCAGGGAGUGGGGUGAGACCGAGGGUGGG
Molecule: long non-coding RNA, 1051 nt
Filed under: Canis lupus dingo (dingo)
Lineage: Eukaryota; Metazoa; Chordata; Mammalia; Carnivora; Canidae
Description: lncRNA (ENSCAFG00020004826.1)
Source: RNAcentral